RNAcentral lists this non-coding RNA (330 nucleotides) under Rhodnius prolixus. Lineage: Eukaryota; Metazoa; Arthropoda; Insecta; Hemiptera; Reduviidae. The record is from RNAcentral.
UAAUACAUCUUAGUAACCUGUUACAGGAUGUAUCACUUUAUCGCUAAAUGUGGUGAAGAAGGAUAAUGGCUUCAGGAUGAAACCAAGGACACCUCUAGGAAGGAGAUUGAGAGCCGUUACGGAGUGUCGGUGGGGCAGGAGCCUAAAGGGAAUAUCUUCACGGAAGGUGCAGUAAGAACGGUCAGGACGAAAGUUGGACGCUUGCACGGAGAGCUGGUUAGGAUAACCGCAAAGGAAAAGUUUUCACGGAUGAGCAGGGACGCAGUGGUGUAGCGGGAAAGCUAUAAAACGAACCGGGGGCACUGAAUAUCAGUGCCCCCAACUUUUUUG